CCUACGGGAGGCAGCAGUGGGGAAUUUUGGACAAUGGGCGAAAGCCUGAUCCAGCCAUACCGCGUGCGGGAAGAAGGCCUUCGGGUUGUAAACCGCUUUUGUCAGGGAAGAAAUGCUUCGGGCUAAUACCCUGGGGUGAUGACGGUACCUGAAGAAUAAGCACCGGCUAACUACGUGCCAGCAGCCGCGGUAAUACGUAGGGUGCAAGCGUUAAUCGGAAUUACUGGGCGUAAAGCGUGCGCAGGCGGUUCUAUAAGACAGAUGUGAAAUCCCCGGGCUCAACCUGGGAACUGCAUUUGUGACUGUAGAGCUAGAGUACGGUAGAGGGGGAUGGAAUUCCGCGUGUAGCAGUGAAAUGCGUAGAUAUGCGGAGGAACACCGAUGGCGAAGGCAAUCCCCUGGACCUGUACUGACGCUCAUGCACGAAAGCGUGGGGAGCAAACAGGAUUAGAUACCCUGGUAGUCCACGCCCUAAACGAUGUCAACUGGUUGUUGGGAGGGUUUCUCUCAGUACGAAGCUAACGCGUGAGUUGACCGCUGGGGNGNGCGCGAGUAAGUAGUAGAAGAGUAGAGNGNGNGNGNGCGAGACGACGACGAGGAGAGG
This 604-nucleotide ribosomal RNA is filed under the name uncultured bacterium. RNAcentral describes it as "bacterial SSU rRNA". The stretch from base 1 to 539 matches the Rfam family "Bacterial small subunit ribosomal RNA", at positions 338 to 873 of the family's 1533-position model. The record is from RNAcentral.